CGCGGCCUAUCAGCUUGUUGGUGAGGUAGUGGCUCACCAAGGCGACGACGGGUAGCCGGCCUGAGAGGGCGACCGGCCACACUGGGACUGAGACACGGCCCAGACUCCUACGGGAGGCAGCAGUGGGGAAUAUUGCACAAUGGGCGGAAGCCUGAUGCAGCGACGCCGCGUGAGGGAUGACGGCCUUCGGGUUGUAAACCUCUUUCAGCAGGGAAGAAGCGAGAGUGACGGUACCUGCAGAAGAAGCGCCGGCUAACUACGUGCCAGCAGCCGCGGUAAUACGUAGGGCGCAAGCGUUGUCCGGAAUUAUUGGGCGUAAAGAGCUCGUAGGCGGCUUGUCGCGUCGGUUGUGAAAGCCCGGAGCUCAACUCCGGGUCUGCAGUCGAUACGGGCAGGCUAGAGUGUGGUAGGGGAGAUCGGAAUUCCUGGUGUAGCGGUGAAAUGCGCAGAUAUCAGGAGGAACACCGGUGGCGAAGGCGGAUCUCUGGGCCAUUACUGACGCUGAGGAGCGAAAGCGUGGGGAGCGAACAGGAUUAGAUACCCUGGUAGUCCACGCCGUAAACGGUGGGCACUAGGUGUUGGCGACAUUCCACGUCGUCGGUGCCGCAGCUAACGCAUUAAGUGCCCCGCCUGGGGAGUACGG
Molecule: ribosomal RNA, 643 nt
Filed under: uncultured Actinomycetes bacterium
Lineage: Bacteria; Bacillati; Actinomycetota; Actinomycetes
Description: bacterial SSU rRNA
Rfam family: Bacterial small subunit ribosomal RNA
Source: RNAcentral